This 262-nucleotide signal recognition particle RNA is filed under the name Mediterraneibacter faecis. RNAcentral describes it as "signal recognition particle sRNA large type". It matches the Rfam family "Bacterial large signal recognition particle RNA". From Rfam's summary of the family: The signal recognition particle (SRP) is a universally conserved ribonucleoprotein involved in the co-translational targeting of proteins to membranes. RNAcentral also lists the same sequence under 11 other names. Lineage: Bacteria; Bacillati; Bacillota; Clostridia; Lachnospirales; Lachnospiraceae. The record is from RNAcentral.
CCGUGCAGCCGGGGUGGUAGCGGUACCUUGAACCUGCAAUCCGCUAUAGCAGGGGUGAUAUUGCGCAGAGGGCGACAGUCUGCAGGGCUGCCCCCGGAAAGUGACGUUGACGUCUGGGUCUCACGCGACGGGACUCUGUGAACCGUGUCAGGUCGGGAACGGAGCAGCACUAAGCAGAACCUCUCGGGUGCCGUGAGGGUGCCUGGGCUGAGUUAACUAUCGGGGUAACGCUUGUGGGCCAAGUUCGAAGCGCAAUGCACGU